This 1982-nucleotide ribosomal RNA is filed under the name human metagenome. RNAcentral describes it as "bacterial LSU rRNA". It matches the Rfam family "Bacterial large subunit ribosomal RNA", at positions 1 to 1977 of the family's 2925-position model. The record is from RNAcentral.
ACAAGUAUACAAGAGCAUCGGGUGGAUGCCUUGGCGUCGGAAGGCGAAGAAAGACGUGGUAAGCUGCGAUAAGCCUCGGGGAGAAGCUAAACAUUCUGCGAUCCGGGGAUGUCUGAAUGGGGAAACCCGGCGGGAGUCAUGUCCCGUCAUCCGCAAGUGAAUACAUAGCUUGCAGGAAGCCAACUCAGGGAAGUGAAACAUCUCAGUACCUGAAGGAAAGGAAAUCAAACGAGACUCCCUCAGUAGCGGCGAGCGAAGGGGGAAGAGCCUAAACCGGUUGGAUUCGUCCAGCCGGGGUUGUAGGGCCGGCAUAGGUGAUUCAUGAGUAGGCAGGGGAAGGAAGCUGGAAAGCUUUGCCAAAGCGGGUGAUAGCCCCGUACCCGAACCUGAAAGUGACACAGCCGGUACCUGAGUACCGCGGGGCACGUGAAACCCCGUGGGAAUCCGGGAGGACCAUCUUCCAAGGCUAAGUACUAACCGACGACCGAUAGUGCACCAGUACCGUGAGGGAAAGGUGAAAAGAACCCCAGUCAGGGGAGUGAAAUAGAAUCUGAAACCUGAUGCUUACAAGCUGUGGGAGCCGUGCUUGCAUGGUGACCACGUGCCUUUUGCAUAAUGAGUCAGCGAGUUAAUCUGUACUGCGAGGUUAAGCGUAAGUGGAGCCGUAGCGAAAGCGAGUCUGAUAAGGGCGAUAGUAGUGCGGAUUAGACCCGAAACCGGGUGAUCUAUCCAUGAGCAGGUUGAAGCACGGGUAAAACCUUGUGGAGGACCGAACCCAUACCGGCUGAAAACGGUUGGGAUGACUUGUGGAUAGGGGUGAAAGGCCAAUCAAACCCGGUGAUAGCUGGUUCUCCCCGAAAUAUAUUGAGGUAUAGCCUCGUGGAUUGUCUACCGGAGGUAAAGCACUGACAGAGCUAGGGGUCCUACCAGAUUACCAAACUCUUUCAAACUCAGAAUGCCGGUCAGAUGUACCACGGGAGUCAGACAGUGGGUGCUAAGGUCCAUUGUCGAGAGGGUAAGAGCCCAGAUCAACAGCUAAGGCCUCCAAAUGCAUGCUCAGUGGUUAAGGUGGUGACGUUGUAGAGACACCCAGGACGUUGGCUUAGAAGCAGCCAUCGUUUAAAGAAAGCGUAAUAGCUCACUGGUCUAAUGACGUUGCGCCGAAAAUGUAACGGGGCUAAGCAUGCUGCCGAAGCUUUGAAUUCCGCGUAUGCGGUCUGGUAGGGGAGCGUUCUUCAUGGGCUGAAGGUGUGUUGUAAAGCAUGCUGGACUGUGGAGAAGUGAUUAUGCUGACAUGAGUAACGAUAAAACGGGUGAAAAACCCGUUCGCCGUAAACCCAAGGUUUCCUGGGUAAAGGUAAUCUUCCCAGGGUUAGUCGGCCCCUAAGGCAAGGCUGAAAGGCGUAGCUGAUGGGAAACGUGUUAAUAUUCACGUACUUGUGUGUUCGCGCGAAGGAGGGACGCAGGAAGAUAGGCGAUCCGGGUGUUGGAUUACCCGGUGCAAGCGAGUAGGCAUGGGAAGCAGGCAAAUCCGUUUCCCUGUAUGCUGAGACGCGAGUCCGUGGGCGUAAGCCCUGAAGUCGCUGAGUCUAUGCUGCCAAGAAAAGCUUCUAAGUUUAGAACACGCAAACCGUACCGGAAACCAACUCAGGUGGGUGGGAUGAAUAAUCCAAGGCGCUCGAGAGAACUCUGGCCAAGGAACUCGGCAAAAUAACCCCGUACCUUCGGAAGAAGGGGUGCUCCUUUAGGUGAAGCGAUUCACUUGUUGAGCCUGAGGGAGCCGCAGAGAAAUGGUGGUGGCGACUGUUUACUAAAAACAUAGGUCUGUGCGAAGUCGUAAAGACGACGUAUACGGACUGACGCCUGCCCGGUGCCGGAAGGUUAAAAGGAGGGGUCAGCGCAAGCGAAGCUCCGAAUUGAAGCCCCGGUAAACGGCGGCCGUAACUAUAACGGUCCUAAGGUAGCGAAAUUCCUUGUCGGGU